This 301-nucleotide ribosomal RNA is filed under the name uncultured bacterium. Its description in RNAcentral is "partial 16S ribosomal RNA". It matches the Rfam family "Bacterial small subunit ribosomal RNA", at positions 509 to 807 of the family's 1533-position model. The record is from RNAcentral.
CAGCAGCCGCGGUAAUACGAAGGGGGCUAUCGUUGUUCGGAUUUACUGGGCGUAAAGCGCACGUAGGCGGACUUUUAAGUCAGGGGUGAAAUCCCGGGGCUCAACCCCGGAACUGCCUUUGAUACUGGAAGUCUUGAGUAUGGUAGAGGUGAGUGGAAUUCCGAGUGUAGAGGUGAAAUUCGUAGAUAUUCGGAGGAACACCAGUGGCGAAGGCGGCUCACUGGACCAUUACUGACGCUGAGGUGCGAAAGCGUGGGGAGCAAACAGGAUUAGAUACCCCUGUAGUCCCUGUCUCUUAUAC